Molecule: long non-coding RNA, 741 nt
Filed under: Gossypium raimondii (Peruvian cotton)
Lineage: Eukaryota; Viridiplantae; Streptophyta; Magnoliopsida; Malvales; Malvaceae
Description: long non-coding RNA (GRAI_LNC000820)
Source: RNAcentral
UAAGACCCAAUUUAUGCCCAGGCCCAAAAUUACAACCCAAAUUCCAAACCCAAAAAAAGAACAAGGCCCAGAUGGCCCAAAAUUAAAACAAUUUCAGCAAAAGUCAGAAACCUAGAAACCCUAGUGCGCCGCAUCUUGCUACCCAUGUGCCUCCAGCGCACUCGUCGCCCGAGGUCUGCCACCGCCAGCCAUCUUUGCACCAAAACGGCAAAUCUUUACCUCCGUUGACCGCAGCGUCAGCAAAGGAAAGCCGAAAGGAAUACAUGCAAAAGAAAAAAUAACAGCAAGGCAAAAAGAAAAGAGAAAAACGAAAAAUGUAAAACAACGGCUAUAAAAGCCGAAUCAAACAAAUGUAAAAAAAGGGAGGAGAUCAAUAAAAAAACUGAUUAUCAAAAGGUUGAUUUCGACUUUGGCUUUAAUUUUUGGUCUUAGUUUUUAUUCGUUUUUUAUUUCUAAUACAUAUUAAAUAAAAAAGGAAGAAAAGAGAAGAGGGAACUCACCGAGUCGAUCCGUUUUCUCAUCGUCGGAGGCUUUUUCUCCGGUGACAAAAUCGGCUGUAGGGGAGCAUUGAGGGCCCUUUUCCUUCGUUUUUGGUUGUUUUGAGGCCAGAUCCGGAUUUAGGAGGUUGGGAUCUACAAAGAGGCACCUUUUUACCCUCUCCGACCACCGUGCACGGCGGCACCGACGCCGGCGACCGACGGCCGGCACGGUGGACCAGUAGCCGAAGCUGGCCGGGUGCAA